UUUUCCUAAUGAGCUCUAAUAGUAUUGUUUUGAAAAGUUUAGUCAAAUACUUAUAAAUAUUGGCUAUGUAUAACUUAUUAUACUCACCAAUUAAUAUACCGAUAAACUUUUAUACAUAUAAAGUAAAAUUAUACCUCAUAAAGAAUAAAAAUUAAAAUACAAUAAUAAAAGCUUAAUUCCACAUAGAUGGUCGCGGCGGAUCAUAUGCAAUAUUGUCAUCUUCAGAUAUAAGAUUUAUUUGACAAUAUUGGUAUAGAUAUUGCUGGUACUAUGAGAAAGUCAUAUAUUGCCGGUACAUCUCAUUGUGAGAAAUUUGAUUACGGAGUUCAAUUUUCUGCCCCUGAUUCUUUGAAACCUUUACGGUGCGACAAAUUUUAGAAAAAUAAUUUGUGAAAAAAAAGCGGAUGUCUGUGGUGGAAGCAGAGGGCUCGGGGGUUCCACCUCCCGUGAAACAAAUCAGAUCUAAAAAUUAAAAAUUUGACCAUAUAAUAAUUAAAUCAAGAACUAUUUUUAACUUUUUUAUAAAUUAUACAUUAAAAAUUAUCUAAUUUUAUAUUUUUUCAAAAAUGAGUUUUGCAAAUAAAAAAUAUUUAAAAUAUAUAAAUAAAAAUUUAAAUCAUAAUUUCUUUUACUUACCUAAUAAGUAAAUUUUUAAUUUGUAAUUUCUUUAUCUCUUUUUUAGAGACGAAAGAAGUAAAAAAAAAAUAAAAAGAGAGUCAAAAAUGGGAGAAAAAAAAUUGAGAAAGAUAUAUAAAAAAAAAGGGAAAGAAAAAAAGAGUGGUAUGCUUAA
RNAcentral lists this long non-coding RNA (790 nucleotides) under Ananas comosus (pineapple). Its description in RNAcentral is "long non-coding RNA (ACOM_LNC034198)". The record is from RNAcentral. Lineage: Eukaryota; Viridiplantae; Streptophyta; Magnoliopsida; Poales; Bromeliaceae.